Xiphophorus hellerii (green swordtail) is the source of this 1998-nucleotide long non-coding RNA. RefSeq lists it as uncharacterized. The record is from RefSeq and is a predicted model, not a curated record. The transcript has 2 exons. Lineage: Eukaryota; Metazoa; Chordata; Actinopteri; Cyprinodontiformes; Poeciliidae.
UGUUUCUAGUCAAAAUAAUGAUUUACAGAACAAGCCUAACAGUACAUAUAACCCUGAAGGCAUCACCUGUAUGAAGCAGGUGCUGUGGGGGAGCUUGUCAUCCGCAGGGACAGAAAACUGAUCAGAUGAGAAGAUGAAUGGAGAUGAAUACAAGGCAAUCCUGAGAGAAAACAUUAAAACCUGCAAAAGACAUGAGCCUGAGGUGGAGAUUAAUCUUACAGCAGGGCAAUAAUCCUAAACAUAAAGCCAGGCAAACAAUGGAACGGUUUAGAUCAAAGUGCAUUCAUGUGGUAAGAAUGGAGCAAUCACAGUAAAGGAAAUGCAGUAAAGUUUGAAGUUGUAAUGUCACAAAAUUUGAAAAAAAAAAAAAGAAACUUGAAAAAUUUGGUUAAUUUUCGAGGUACUAUGUUUCAGGAAUACAAACAUGAACUAUUAGCUGAACUAAAGCUAACAUAAGGUCCAACUCCAAAUGUUGAAAGUAGAAGGGCAUGACGAGAGAAUACAAGAAAUACACAUGAAACAGGUUUGCUGUGUCCUGAAAUCUACACCUGAGGUCAGCUUCUAGCAGCAGUCACUUUCCAGCUCCGCUUCCCCUCUGCACAGGAAACCGAGUGUCUGCAGACGCAUUGCACGAAAGCUGAUCUGUCACCCUGUAGACCUGAAGGGGAUCACAUAACGCGCACACACACACACACACAAACACUGCUUUCAUAGUCUCCUAAGGGCAGAUCAAUUCAAACAGCAAAUUUUUCUUUUCAUACCUCAACAAUUUUCUGAUGACCUCUGCUUUCACUGCAGCUUCAUCAGGAACAGAAACAUUAAGCAAAAAGUCCCUGCUGUCAGACUUCAUACCAGCACAAGUUAUCUCACUUUUCACUGUCUAUCGAUCACUAACACCAUGGUUCAACUCCUUCACCUAGGAUGAGUCAGUGAAAAAGAAAAGAAAGAAAAUACACACGCAAUCAUCAAGAUCAAGUUGAGCUAGUUUCUUCUUGUGCGUCUUCAUGGGAACUUACUCAGAAUGUUCAAGUCUCCCUUUUCUCAGACAGAUUUUGAUUCCUUCAUUAUUUGCAGGUUGUAGAAAAAUGUAGCAGCUCAUUUAACAAGAGCGAGAACAUCUGAUCAUACCUGUGGGUUUCUGUUUGCGAGAAACCCACAGGUUUGUGGGUAAACCUGUGGGUUUUAAAGAGAAAUUCCACUACAUAUGUUUGUGUUUGCUCAUUUUCAGCUUUAAAAACCAAGAAUAAAGCAUCACAGCUUCCAAUAUAUAAAUAUGCAAAAUUGUAAUGUUUUGUGCAGCUGACCCUGCAGAAUUCAUGUGACUGAAUCCAAACCUUUGUACAACAGUUAGCUUGAUUAGUGAUGCUAAUCUCAUGAUUGUGGUUAGGGUUUUGUUCCCCAUUCUUAUUGUCUUUUGAGUUUUGACCUUUGAAUCUUUUAUAUUUAACCUUCAUUUCCUGAAACAGUUUUGUUCUUCUGUUUCCUGCUUAGCCUGACUGACUCAAAAACAUUUUGUUUGGUGGAACAAAGAAAUUACCCUGAAUCUGAGCGGCAGCUGCAAUAUAACCAGUUUGAAUUAUUUAAAGGUGAAGGAGUGGAGCUUUAAUUCUUUCUUUAUUAUCUCCUUAAGCAUAUGAAACACUGAACUGACCUUAAUGAAAGAAAAGGGGAUUAUUUAAGCCAUAAUUCUUUGCAGCAGAAUUUAAACUAACUUUUGAAUAAUUUAAUAUAGCAUUCGCAACUGGGAUUCAUGCAAGAUAAAUAAGAGUGAAGUUUGGCAGCGAGUGAGAUCACCAUGACAACAGAAUAUUUCAUGGUUAAUGUGCUAUUGAAACCCACCUAUUACUUUUUGUCAUUCUUCAAUUUCUGUCAAAGAAAGGUGGACUCCAAUACAAACAUAAAGGGGAGAAAUGCCAGUGAUUUGCUUUGUGCUGAUUCCAAGUCCGGAUAAAUGCAGAGUAUUUUAUCAAGAAGGGAAUCCGAUGUUAAAAGCCUAAG